UGUAUUCCAAGGAGGACAUAUUUGUCCUCUUCGACAGUAAAGGAUUAAGACCCCUGUACUCCCAAAGCAAACCUCGUCUUUAAUUUUCAGGGAGAGUGAUCAAUACUAUCCCUAUUACUACUACUAUUAUGACUAUUUCCAGGUUAAAAGUGACUACCUGGAGGAUGAAAGCAAGGCGGCAGAAGGCAUGGAUUUCGACACAGCCAUCCAGCUCACUUGCAUCGAAAUCAAGCGAGUCUUUAAGCGGAUGAACGGAUGCGCGAUGGACAAGAAGUCAAAUCUUGAGCAGCCGGAGAAGGAAGUCGGUCUACAUGAAUUCCUACCGGCCUACAUCAUCAACACCACCAAACAGAAAACGUUACGUAAGGCUUUGCAGGGAAACUUUAAGAAAUUCUCGGCGUUCUUCGAUUACGAAUCUCACUUCAAGUACCUCGAGAUUUUGGGAAAAGUUGGAAAGUUUGACAUCGAAAACUUCCGCUGUGCACUCGGCUGUGGUUGGUCUAUUCCUGUCACUCUGCUUGUCGGCCCAAGUGUUGGUAUUUCCUACUGGACAGAUUCUGCCUCUGCCGUAAGUACCACUACUACUACUACUGUCACUACUACUACUACUACUACUACUACUACUACUACUAC
Long non-coding RNA from Scylla paramamosain (green mud crab), 633 nucleotides. RefSeq lists it as uncharacterized. The record is from RefSeq and is a predicted model, not a curated record. NCBI's taxonomy places the organism in Eukaryota, Metazoa, Arthropoda, Malacostraca, Decapoda, Portunidae. The transcript is spliced from 3 exons.